GAUAGUAAGUACUGCGAUAUG
Molecule: microRNA, 21 nt
Filed under: Ascaris suum (pig roundworm)
Lineage: Eukaryota; Metazoa; Nematoda; Chromadorea; Rhabditida; Ascarididae
Description: asu-miR-43a-5p
Gene: asu-miR-43a-5p
Source: miRBase by way of RNAcentral